GACGAACGCUGGCGGCGUGCCUAAUACAUGCAAGUCGAGCGAAGUUUUUCUGGUGCUUGCACCGGAAAAACUUAGCGGCGAACGGGUGAGUAACACGUAAAGAACCUGCCUUAUAGACUGGGACAACUAUUGGAAACGAUAGCUAAUACCGGAUAACAGCAUUAGCUGCAUGGUUGAUGUUUGAAAGUUGGUUUUGCUAACACUAUGAGAUGGCUUUGCGGUGCAUUAGCUAGUUGGUGGGGUAAAGGCCUACCAAGGCGACGAUGCAUAGCCGACCUGAGAGGGUGAUCGGCCACACUGGGACUGAGACACGGCCCAGACUCCUACGGGAGGCAGCAGUAGGGAAUCUUCCGCAAUGGGCGAAAGCCUGACGGAGCAACGCCGCGUGAGUGAAGAAGGAUUUCGGUUCGUAAAGCUCUGUUGUUAGGGAAGAAUGAUUGUGUAGUAACUAUACACAGUAGAGACGGUACCUAACCAGAAAGCCACGGCUAACUACGUG
Molecule: ribosomal RNA, 499 nt
Filed under: uncultured bacterium
Lineage: Bacteria
Description: partial 16S ribosomal RNA
Rfam family: Bacterial small subunit ribosomal RNA
Source: RNAcentral